RNAcentral lists this non-coding RNA (47 nucleotides) under Pelagimonas varians. RNAcentral's name for it is "SAM-SAH-Weickhmann-2018 RNA". It matches the Rfam family "SAM/SAH riboswitch aptamer". Lineage: Bacteria; Pseudomonadati; Pseudomonadota; Alphaproteobacteria; Rhodobacterales; Roseobacteraceae. The record is from RNAcentral.
CCGUCACAACGGCUUCCUGGCGUGACGGCGUCAUUCGCACUGGAGCG